GUCAACACCCCCAGAGAGCGGAGCCCCUGGCUGCCCCUGAAGACACGGAAGACGGGCAGGAAGGUAGGGGAGGGGCAGCGAGGCCAGCUCCUGCCACCCCUGCUGUCCCCAGCCCUGGCCCAAGGCACCAGGACUUCUGACGGGGCCCACGCUGGGCACAUAGCCAAUGGAGUAGAGGAACAGGUGCCGGAGCCAGGACACCUGCUGGCUUGGACAAUCGCAGACACUGUGCGUGGAUGGGAGCCUAGACCCGCCCCUCAGGUGCGGCUGUCACAGAGACUUCCUGCCCGAGACCGCGGGAGGGAAGGCUGCACCUGAUGCGCCCCAGCCUGCCGUCCAGAGGGAGGUCUGCGAGAGGUGUCCCCUACUCCAUCAGCAGAGGCCGGGGGCGGGGCAGCAGAGCGGACUUGCCCACCCAGGGAGAGAAGCAGGUUAGCACCUCAGUGCGCCCGGGGCACC
RNAcentral lists this long non-coding RNA (459 nucleotides) under Ursus maritimus (polar bear). RNAcentral describes it as "lncRNA (ENSUMAG00000006273.1)". Lineage: Eukaryota; Metazoa; Chordata; Mammalia; Carnivora; Ursidae. The record is from RNAcentral.